This 388-nucleotide transfer-messenger RNA is filed under the name Burkholderiaceae. Its description in RNAcentral is "Ralstonia sp003851545 Standard tmRNA". It matches the Rfam family "transfer-messenger RNA". From Rfam's summary of the family: Bacterial tmRNA, also known as 10Sa RNA or SsrA, is named for its dual tRNA and mRNA-like properties. Its role is to liberate the mRNA from a stalled ribosome. Lineage: Bacteria; Pseudomonadati; Pseudomonadota; Betaproteobacteria; Burkholderiales. RNAcentral also lists the same sequence under 1 other name. The record is from RNAcentral.
GGGGCCGACCUGGUUUCGACGUGGGUUGCAAAGCAGUAGCGGGCAUACCGAGGACCCGUCACCUCGUUAAUCAAUGGGAACGCAAUAAUUGCUACCUUUAGCAAAAACGAAGCUGCGAACGAUUCGUCGUUCGCUCUUGCCGCUUAAUAACCGGUAACUUCCCUCGUACUAGCUUGCCGAUAGGCUAGAGGCCGCAAGGCCACGCGAGGUCAUCAAUAUCGGACCGCUCCCGGAGAUCGCCACGGAUCCGGGUGCUAAAUCCAGUGGAUCGCCGUCGCGCAGCGUGUUCGUCCGCGUCGUUACGGUUAAAUCAAACGACUGAACUAAGUAUGUAGAACGCUCUGUGGAGGGCUUGCGGACGCGGGUUCGAUUCCCGCCGGCUCCACCA